Molecule: non-coding RNA, 45 nt
Organism: Schistosoma mattheei
Lineage: Eukaryota; Metazoa; Platyhelminthes; Trematoda; Strigeidida; Schistosomatidae
Source: Rfam
AUCCAGCUGACGAGUUCAAAACAGAACGAAAGGCGCGUCCUCGAU